CCUCAAGCUUUGCUUGGUGUUGGGCGUCUUGUCUUUUGGCUCUUUGCCCAAAGACUCGCCUUAAAACGAUUGGCAGCCGGCUACUGGUUUCGCAGCGCAGCACAUUUUUGCGCUUGCAAUCAGCAAAAGAGGACGGCACUCCAUCAAGACUCCUUCUCACGUUUGACCUCGGAUCAGGUAGGGAUACCCGCUGAACUUAA
RNAcentral lists this unclassified non-coding RNA (200 nucleotides) under soil metagenome. Its description in RNAcentral is "partial contains internal transcribed spacer 2 and large subunit ribosomal RNA". The record is from RNAcentral.